CGUAGGGAGCGAGCGUUGUCCGGAAUUACUGGGUGUAAAGGGAGUGUAGGCGGGAUGGCAAGUUAGGUGUGAAAUGCGGAGGCUCAACCUCCGAGCUGCACUUAAAACUGCUGUUCUUGAGUGAAGUAGAGGCAGGCGGAAUUCCUAGUGUAGCGGUGAAAUGCGUAGAUAUUAGGAGGAACAUCAGUGGCGAAGGCGGCCUGCUGGGCUUUUACUGACGCUGAGGCUCGAAAGCGUGGGGAGCAAA
This 247-nucleotide ribosomal RNA is filed under the name uncultured bacterium. Its description in RNAcentral is "partial 16S ribosomal RNA". It matches the Rfam family "Bacterial small subunit ribosomal RNA", at positions 526 to 772 of the family's 1533-position model. The record is from RNAcentral.